AUUUAAGUAGUUUAUUAAAAUAAAGAAUUGUGGUUUCUUAGAUACUGAAAAGUCUUAAAUU
RNAcentral lists this transfer RNA (61 nucleotides) under Cicadella viridis. Its description in RNAcentral is "tRNA-His". The record is from RNAcentral. Lineage: Eukaryota; Metazoa; Arthropoda; Insecta; Hemiptera; Cicadellidae.